RNAcentral lists this ribosomal RNA (1493 nucleotides) under uncultured bacterium. RNAcentral describes it as "bacterial SSU rRNA". It matches the Rfam family "Bacterial small subunit ribosomal RNA". The record is from RNAcentral.
AGAGUUUGAUCAUGGCUCAGGAUGAACGCUAGCGGCAGGCCUAAUACAUGCAAGUYGAACGGGAUCCACUGAAGUAGCAAUACGGAAGUGGUGAGAGUGGCGCACGGGUGCGUAACGCGUAUGCAACCUACCCUGUUCUGGGGGAUAGCCCGAAGAAAUUCGGAUUAAUACCGCAUAACACCACUGGGCAGCAUUGUCCGGUGGUCAAACAUUUAUGGGAACGGGAUGGGCAUGCGUUCGAUUAGCUGGUUGGCGGGGUAACGGCCCACCAAGGCAACGAUCGAUCGGGGAUCUGAGAGGAUGGCCCCCCACACUGGUACUGAGACACGGACCAGACUCCUACGGGAGGCAGCAGUAAGGAAUAUUGGUCAAUGGGCGCAAGCCUGAACCAGCCAUGCCGCGUGCAGGAAGACGGCCCUACGGGUUGUAAACUGCUUUUAUUCGGGAAUAAACCUACUUACGUGUAAGUAGCUGAACGUACCGAAGGAAUAAGGAUCGGCUAACUCCGUGCCAGCAGCCGCGGUAAUACGGAGGAUCCGAGCGUUAUCCGGAUUUAUUGGGUUUAAAGGGUGCGUAGGCGGGAUACUAAGUCAGGGGUGAAAGACGGCAGCUCAACUGUCGCAGUGCCCUUGAUACUGGUGUCCUUGAAUAUGGUUGAGGUAGGCGGAAUGUGACAAGUAGCGGUGAAAUGCAUAGAUAUGUCACAGAACACCGAUUACGAAGGUAGCUUACUAAGCCAUCAUCGACGCUGAGGCACGAAAGCGUGGGGAUCGAACAGGAUUAGAUUCCCUGGUAGUCCACGCCCUAAACGAUGAUAACUCGCUGUUAGCGAUAUACAGUUAGCGGCCAAGCGAAAGCGUUAAGUUAUCCACCUGGGGAGUACGCCGGCAACGGUGAAACUCAAAGGAAUUGACGGGGGCCCGCACAAGCGGAGGAGCAUGUGGUUUAAUUCGAUGAUACGCGAGGAACCUUACCCGGGCUUGAAAGUUAGUGAACGUUCCAGAGAUGGGACGGUCCGCAAGGACACGAAACUAGGUGCUGCAUGGCUGUCGUCAGCUCGUGCCGUGAGGUGUUGGGUUAAGUCCCGCAACGAGCGCAACCCCUAUGUCCAGUUGCCAGCACGUAAAGGUGGGGACUCUGGACAGACUGCCUGUGCAAACAGAGAGGAAGGCGGGGACGACGUCAAGUCAUCAUGGCCCUUACGUCCGGGGCUACACACGUGCUACAAUGGCCAGUACAGAGGGCCGCGAUCUGGUAACAGUUAGCCAAUCUCAGAAAGCUGGUCACAGUUCGGAUCGGGGUCUGCAACUCGACCCCGUGAAGUUGGAUUCGCUAGUAAUCGCGUAUCAGCAAUGACGCGGUGAAUACGUUCCCGGGCCUUGUACACACCGCCCGUCAAGCCAUGGAAGCCGGGGGUACCUAAAGUCCGUCACCGCAAGGAUCGGCCUAGGGUAAAACUGGUAACUGGGGCUAAGUCGUAACAAGGUAAAGGG